Molecule: ribosomal RNA, 630 nt
Filed under: Salmonella enterica
Lineage: Bacteria; Pseudomonadati; Pseudomonadota; Gammaproteobacteria; Enterobacterales; Enterobacteriaceae
Description: partial 23S ribosomal RNA
Rfam family: Bacterial large subunit ribosomal RNA
Source: RNAcentral
AGACCCGAAACCCGGUGAUCUAGCCAUGGGCAGGUUGAAGGUUGGGUAACACUAACUGGAGGACCGAACCGACUAAUGUUGAAAAAUUAGCGGAUGACCUGUGGCUGGGGGUGAAAGGCCAAUCAAACCGGGAGAUAGCUGGUUCUCCCCGAAAGCUAUUUAGGUAGCGCCUCGUGAAUUCAUCUCCGGGGGUAGAGCACUGUUUCGGCCAGGGGGCCAUCCCGGCUUACCAAUCCGAUGCAAACUGCGAAUACCGGAGAAUGUUAUCACGGGAGACACACGGCGGGUGCUAACGUCCGUCGUGAAGAGGGAAACAACCCAGACCGCCAGCUAAGGUCCCAAAGUCAUGGUUAAGUGGGAAACGAUGUGGGAAGGCCCAGACAGCCAGGAUGUUGGCUUAGAAGCAGCCAUCAUUUAAAGAAAGCGUAAUAGCUCACUGGUCGAGUCGGCCUGCGCGGAAGAUGUAACGGGGCUAAACCAUGCACCGAAGCUGCGGCAGCGAACGUAUCACCCAAGACAACUUUACACAGUUGACGCCUGACGGAGCGAAGCGACGUCAAAGCGUUUUACAACGUCGAGUUGGCUUAGGGAUACGUUCGUUGGGUAGGGGAGCGUUCUGUAAGCCGUUGA